ACCAAUCUCCGAGUGGAAUCCAGACGCGCUGCAGUAGUAACUGAUACUGAAGUGCUGACAUCCAUUCGCCUCCUCGAGCCGCCCAGAGGUUGGGGGUCGCCAACCUACUAGCAGGAAGAGCAGGCGGGUCUUCCGUUCUCUGAAUUCACCCCUUUCCCCUGACGCUCGUGCCCGGCAUGGCUGAGAUUGUGGAGUUCUGCGUCCCCUCCGGGAAUGAUCGGACUCUUCUUGUCUUGGGGCUGGAGUCGGAUGCAUCGGAGCAUGCUCUAUACCUUACCUUCUCUGCCUUUGGACUGCUCCAUUCUGUAAGACUCCACAGAAAUGUUCCAGUAGCUGGGCCUGGCUAUUAUGCUUUUGUUAAGUUCUACUCUGCCCGAGAUGCCAGCAGGGCACAACAGGCUUGCAAUGGGAGGUCACUGUUUCAGAAAACUGCUCUGAAGAUUUGCAUUUGUACCAGACAGAGGGCUCUUACAAAGCAAACAUUACCUUUGAACAUUCACAAAAGCCAAGAAUUAGCUAAUUACUACCUUGGUUUCAAUGGUUGGUCCAGUCGCAUCAUCACUCUGCAGAAUAUACCUGGCUUUGAAGAUAAUGAGAAAAAAGAAAGAGGAACUUUACCCAGGCACCAUCAUUCAAAGUAUCUUUGUGUGCAAGAAUUAAACAUCCCUCAUUAUGGGAUUUAUACCAGAGGGAUUGGAGUGGCUGAACUUCAGGUGAACCCCAAUCAAGAGUUUCUGAUGGCCACCCGCAAUGCUCAGAAGUUUGCAGUGCAACAGGCACUCUCGGAUGCAUUUCGGAAAAUACUCUUCAUAAUCCUAGAAAAUGGGAAGUUGGCAGUGGAGUACAACUAUCCUGAGAAAGACCUCAUUGACUGUGUAUCAGAAGACGAACUCAGGGGUCUCAUUCAGGGAUUUUACUGGAAACAAUUUUUUCCAUGAAUAAACGGGUGUGGUGGGCCUAUCCUUGGACUGAAUACUUGAUUCUCAAGAACAAUCAUUUGCAUAGACUGGAUAAUACGUCUCUAGAUGGCUUGCUUUCACUCACACAUCUGAAUGUCUCCAGACCAUUGAGAAAAAUGCAUUUGAGCCUGUUCCACUCCUGCAAUCUAUCAAUCUCAGUGGCAACCAUAUUUUGCGGAUAACGCAGGGGGCCUUUCAGGCUUGGCAUGGGAUGCAGUUUCUAUCCAAGUUUAUUUUGCCUAGGAAAAUGUCCUGCUGCCUUUGCAAAAAUCAGGAUACCAUUGAAGCCUCAUCUAAUACCAUCAAGCUGGAUUGCACCAAUAGAUGUGUCUCAAACAUUAUUGAUUAUGAGAAAGAGGAACUUUGGGGAACCAUGCAAGAUGAAGUAAAGAAAGUACUGGAAACCAGAAAAUUAAAUUCUACCAACAUAUUAAAUAUUAUCUCUGAAAAACCUGAACAUUAUAAUGUCACUCUGUCACUCUUAAUGACCCAUGGGCGUAUUCAUUUAGGUAUCCAUUUUCAUAAACACAGACCACAUAUUUUAAAAUCAGCCAUCAGAUUAAGUAAACUCACCCCUGAUGAAUAUGUGGAUGUGAUGUGGUCUGAUAAAAAUGAGCUGAAAAAGCUGUACAAGUUAACAGAUUUGCUACUGGUAGCUCUCAAAGCAAAAUUAGCAGAAAGUGAACAGGAGACUCAAGCGUUGGAGAUCAAAAGGAAUUGCCUACAGAAAUUUCAGAAGAUUAUGGUAACAUCAUCCUGAGCACUAAAAGCCAUCGGAAAAGAUUUAAGGGACACCUGAAAAGGGUAAAGAGAGAUCAUUGGAUUGGGAAAAAUCCAGAAGAAAAAGAAUUAUUUCUAGAGGAAAAAGAAUUAUUUCUCAGGUUGCUCAGAGAAAACGUAGAAUUUGCAAAAACUACUGGAAAACUUGCAGGAGAACAAAGAAAUUUUGCUUUGUAUACCAUGGCAGAAAAAUUGGGGACACUAUCAAGGGAACUGGAGCUUCAGAAGGCUGCUUCCUUUAACAGGCUUCUUCAAGCAGCACUUCAUUCCUUAAAGAACUGCUCCAUUUUUCAUCUUCUAACUAAGCUUCCUCCUUUGACUGCUUCUGUUGUGGUUGAUGACAGUGCUGAGGAGUCAGAAACUUUGAAUGAACUCUCGCCUGAUAUAACAUUGUCUCAUAAGACACAUUGGAAACAUCAUGAACAAACCACCUCUGCUUCCCCUUUGCUUCAUCUUUUGGGAGACACUGCUUAUAAUUUGAUUCAGGGUGAACUCAAUAAAAUUGAAUUGAACACAGGGUUGGCAUCUUUCUUUCCAAGUAAGCCUAUCAGGAAACUCAUUUCCCUCAUGAUCCAUAUUAUGAAUGUGACCUGCAGAGAGUCCAAUAUCCAGAUGGCUUGUGCUAAAUUAAGCUCUAGAAUAGAUCUUCUCAUGAAAGACUUCAGUGUGAAAAGUAGCCAGGAGACA
RNA transcript from Crotalus tigris (Tiger rattlesnake), 2426 nucleotides. It is a transcript of the gene named RAD52 motif containing 1, with no coding region annotated. NCBI's taxonomy places the organism in Eukaryota, Metazoa, Chordata, Lepidosauria, Squamata, Viperidae. The transcript is spliced from 12 exons. The record is from RefSeq and is a predicted model, not a curated record.